Molecule: ribosomal RNA, 2261 nt
Filed under: Triticum aestivum (bread wheat)
Lineage: Eukaryota; Viridiplantae; Streptophyta; Magnoliopsida; Poales; Poaceae
Description: partial small subunit ribosomal RNA
Source: RNAcentral
AUGCCGAUUGGGCAGCCGAACUGCAACACCACCUGCGGGCUGCGGCAAGGUGACUGUGCCCUACCCGUUCGGCAUGGGACCGGACAGGUGCUAUUGGCCAGGAUUCAAGCUCACCUGCCACCAUGGAAGCAAGCCCCCAAGGCUGCUCCUCGGCGACGGCGGUGCUGGUACGUUUGAGGUGGUGAACAUCUUCCUCCAGAACAACUCGAUGCGCGUCAUCAGCCACGGAGUUCAUCCCAUAAACAUGAACGGCUCUGGCGACGGGCGCGGCCGGUGGAGCUGGAGCCUCGGUCCCGGUGGUGGGGUGCCAUACCCAUACGUGCUAAGCUACAGAAACGAGCUCAUCCUCAUGGGGUGCAAUGUGCAGGCCACGCUGCUAAGCAAUGGGAGCAGUAGCGGUAUCGUGAGUGGCUGCGCCUCCUUCUGCACCGUCACCACAGAGGAGGAGAUCCUCGGGUAUAGCGAGGACGGCGGCGUGCCCUGCACCAAUAUCGGUUGCUCCAGUCGCCAAUCCUCGCGGGUUACACCUCGUACAAGGUGGAGCUGAAACGGCUCGACGACGGCCUGCCAAAGGGCAAGCUUGCCCGCAAUGUGCCUGUGAAGGUGCUCAUCGCCGAGACGGGUUGGUUGAGCCAGGACCGGGCCAAUGAUCUGUUCGACGCAUGGGAUUCCCAACGGUGGAAGGCCAUGCUCCAGGUCCCGGCUAUCCUCCGGUGGGCGGUGCCGCACGGCACAGCACCGACUGUAUAUGAGAAUGAAAGACCAUGCCCCACCGACGCAGCCCGGAUCAUCUGCAAGAGCGCCGACAGCGAGUGCAGUGACCGGGGAGAUUCUACGCUUAAAGGCUACUCAUGUAGCUGCAAGCAGGACUACGAUGGCAACCCUUACCUCACCGGCGGAUGCCAAGAUAUCAAGAGUGCGAUCGGAAAGAAGAAUAUGGGUGUUUCGGCGACUGUGAGGAACUUCUCGGGACAUUUCAGUGUCGGUGCCCCAGCGGGUUCCAUGGAAACUACAGCAUACUCGGCGGUUGCAUCAAGUCCGUGAACACAGGUUUAAUCAUUGGUCUCUCGGUUGCUAGUGGCCCGUGCAUUAUACUUUUUAUUCUUGGCACAAUCCUGAUAAUCCGUAAUCUUGAGCAACACAAGGCAAAGAGAUUGAGACAGAAGUUCUUUAGUCAAAACUAUGGACAAUUGUUGAGGCAGUUGGUAUCUCAUAGGUCCGACAUCGCAGAGAAGAUGAUAAUUCCUUUAGAGGAGCUACAGAAGGCCACCAACAAUUUUGAUGAGGCUCGUACGCUCGGUGGAGGAGGGCUUGGCACCGUCUACAAAGGGAUUUUGUCAGACUUGCAUGUUGUGGCCAUCAAGAAGUCAAAUAUCGUGGUCAAGAGAGAAAUUGAUGAGUUCAUUAAUGAGGUUGCCAUACUCUCUCAAAUCAAUCAUAGGAAUAUUGUAAAGCUACAUGGAUGUUGCCUGGAGACAGAAGUCCCUUUACUAGCCUAUGAGUUUAUCUCCAAUGGAACCCUUAGUGACCAUCUUCACACAGGAGAAGCAAGAUCACUAUCUUGGGAAGAUAGGUUACGGAUUACAAGCGAAAUAGGCAAAGCUCUUGCUUACCUUCAUUCUGCUAUUACUGUCCCUGUAAUACAUAGAGAUAUCAAGCCUUCCAACAUACUUCUUGACGAUGCCUUAAUAGCAAAAGUGUCAGAUUUCGGAGCUUCAAGGUACAUUCCCAUGGGUAAAACAGGGUUAACAACAAUAACUGCAGUGCAAGGAACUAUCGGUUACUUAGACCCUAUGUACUAUUACACAGGACGACUAACGGAAAGCAGUGAUGUGUAUAGCUUUGGAGUCCUUGUUGAAUUGCUUACUAGGAAGAAUCCGUCUUCCUACAGAUCCUCUAAAGGUGAUGGGCUUGUCAUGCAGUUUGUUGAACUACUUGCACAAGGAAAUCUCAGCGAGAUACUAGAUCCACAAGUUGUACAGGAGGGAGGUAGCCAGGUCGAAGAAGUAGCUACUCUUGCUGUGGUGUGCAUGAAACUGAGAGCGGAGGAAAGGCCAACCAUGAGGCAAGUGGAUAUGGCACUAGAAGGUCUCCAAGCACCCAAGGAGCAUUUCAAGGGUGAUUCAUCAACAAAAGAAGAUGAUGAGAAAUAUGUUCCAGUGAAACAUGCAUCAACUAGCGGAACAACAAACCAAAAGGAAGCUAGCAGGUGUCACAACCUAGAAGAAGAGUUUGUAUUAUCUGCAAGAUACCCUCGGUAG